Panthera uncia (snow leopard) is the source of this 719-nucleotide long non-coding RNA. RefSeq lists it as uncharacterized. The transcript is spliced from 2 exons. NCBI's taxonomy places the organism in Eukaryota, Metazoa, Chordata, Mammalia, Carnivora, Felidae. The record is from RefSeq and is a predicted model, not a curated record.
CCGCGCUCUGCGCCCGGGGCCUCGGUACCGCCUCCUCCCGGGCGGCCGCAACUACCGCCGCCAUCCUCCCGCUCACACGGCGGCUCGCGGAAGUUCAGCAAUAUCGAUGAUAAGACUAUGAACAGCGAAAACAAAAGAAAUAACCAAGAAGGCAGAAGCCAGCUCCAUCUUAAUUAGACCUAUCCCGUAAAACUGAUGUUGGAGGAAGCGCAGUUGGAAGAAGGCAAGAUAAUCGAGCCUGACCUUCAGUAGUAAAGCAAAAACUGUGGUGCAGAGAAAGCUACACCCGAUUUAGGAGACCAGGGGUCUGGGUCUGGGAGCAGAAAUAACUUACAUGCAGUAAGCAAAUUUUACCUUUUUGGACAUUCGUUUCCUGACCUGGGAUUAAAUCCCUAGGGCACCCGCAGCCUUAAAAUCCAAUAAUUUCUCUAGGGGCCCCUGACUGGCUCGGUCGGCAGACCGUGGGGGGUGUGAGUUUAAGCCCCCAGGUUGGGUGUAGAGAUGACUUAAAUAGAUAAAUAAACUUAAAAAAAAAAAAUCCCACUAUGUCUCUAAAAUGGCAUUUAGCAAAAUUCUCUUCGGUUCAUUACUGUGAUGUAGUAUCUUGGUGACAGAGCAUGGUCUGGAAAUUCGUUUUGAAAAUGGCUGAAGUGUCCUCUCUGUGAAAAUAGCAACCGGUAUUUUUGUACAAACUGUAAAAGUAAAUCUUUUUUUCCAUA